Molecule: ribosomal RNA, 277 nt
Filed under: uncultured bacterium
Lineage: Bacteria
Description: partial 16S ribosomal RNA
Rfam family: Bacterial small subunit ribosomal RNA
Source: RNAcentral
GAUGAACGCUGGCGGUAUGCCUAACACAUGCAAGUCGAACGAAAUCUUCGGAUUUAGUGGCGGACGGGUGAGUAACGCGUGAGAAUCUGCCUCGAGGAUGGGGACAACAGUUGGAAACGACUGCUAAUACCCAAUAUGCAUAUAAUGUGAAAUUAUUUAGCCUUGAGAGGAGCUCGCGUCCGAUUAGUUAGUUGGUGGGGUAAAAGCCUACCAAGGCAGCGAUCGGUAGCUGGUCUGAGAGGAUGAGCAGCCACACUGGGACUGAGACACGGCCCAG